Long non-coding RNA from Brienomyrus brachyistius, 871 nucleotides. RefSeq lists it as uncharacterized. NCBI's taxonomy places the organism in Eukaryota, Metazoa, Chordata, Actinopteri, Osteoglossiformes, Mormyridae. The transcript has 2 exons. The record is from RefSeq and is a predicted model, not a curated record.
UUUGAUGUCACAUUCUAGAAUGCAACAACUGAUGACAUCAUUUGCCAGUCAGUGAGGUCAUAGAAGAUUGUGUAUAUAAAGGCCAGUUUCACCUUCACGUUUCAGUCCUGAGAUCAUUUCAACGGAGACACUGUUCAAAUUGACACUCAGCAUUUUCUGUUCCGUCUACUUUUGCCUGGACAAAACAGAGAAACACUAAGCAUGGAUGGAGGCAGACUGAACAGGAAAAAGAGCAAAUCGGAGAGUGAUUUGGGGAAAAAGCCUGAGAUCCAGAGGCCUAGACCAAUGAGGCAACUGAACAGAAGACGACCAGUCCCUAAGCGAACCAAGUCAGAUACUGAGUUGGUGAGACCUAUGCCAGACCCAAAGAGCGGUGGAAAAGAACAGAGGCCACCUGGGGAUGACCCCGAGAGGGCUGGAGGAGAACAGCAACCUCCCGAGGAGCACCCGGAGAGGGCUGGAGGAGAACAGCAACCUCCCGAGGAGCAUCCGGAGAGGGCUGAAGGAGGACAGCAACCUCCCGAGGAGUACCCAGAGAGGGUCGGAGGAGGGCAGGGGCCACCAGGACAUGAACCAGCCAACAAUAACUGGCAACGUUUCAUUCGGGCUCUUCGGUCUGGGGUUAAUGUAUUUGCCCACUGGGCCCGGCGUUUUUUUUCUGCACUGCAAACUGUGUGUAUGUGCCUUUAUGAAUGUUGCAUGGCCAAUGAUGAAAUGAAUCUAAAUCCAUAUUAUUUUAUGUAAGCCCUAGUAUAAAUAGCUGUUGUGUCUCCUUCUUGUCUGAGUGGCACUGGGGAUGUAUCGUAGUAAUCGAGUGAGAAUCUUUUUAUCCUGUUUUCUUUGUUUUAAUAAAAAUUAUUGUUGUGAAGUA